UACGAAGGGUGCAAGCGUUACUCGGAAUUACUGGGCGUAAAGCGCGUGUAGGCGGCCCUGCAAGUCGGAUGUGAAAUCCCACGGCUCAACCGUGGAAGUGCAUUCGAAACUGCAGGGCUAGAGUCCUGGAGAGGAAGGUGGAAUGCUUGGUGUAGAGGUGAAAUUCGUAGAUAUCAAGCGGAACACCGGUGGCGAAGGCGGCCUUCUGGACAGUGACUGACGCUGAGACGCGAAAAGCGUGGGGAGCAACAGGG
Molecule: ribosomal RNA, 254 nt
Filed under: uncultured bacterium
Lineage: Bacteria
Description: partial 16S ribosomal RNA
Rfam family: Bacterial small subunit ribosomal RNA
Source: RNAcentral